RNAcentral lists this ribosomal RNA (440 nucleotides) under uncultured bacterium. RNAcentral's name for it is "partial 16S ribosomal RNA". It matches the Rfam family "Bacterial small subunit ribosomal RNA", at positions 338 to 795 of the family's 1533-position model. The record is from RNAcentral.
CCUACGGGUGGCAGCAGUGGGGAAUAUUGCACAAUGGGGGAAACCCUGAUGCAGCGACGCCGCGUGAGUGAAGAAGUAACUCGUUAUGUUAAGCUCUAGCAGCAGGGAAGAAAAUGACGGUACCUGAGUAAGAAGCCCCGGCCAACGACGUGCCAGGAGCCGCGGGAAUUAGUAGGGGGCAAGCGUUAUCCGGAUUUACUGGGUGUAAAGGGAGCGUAGACGGCAGUGCAAGUCUGGAGUGAAAGGCGGGCGCUCAACCCCCGGACUGCACUGGAAACUGUACGGCUUGAGUGAAGGAGAGGUAAGUGGAAUUCCUAGUGUAGCGGUGAAAUGCGUAGAUAUUAGGAGGAACACCAGUGGCGAAGGCGGCUUACUGGACUUUAACUGACGUUGAGGCUCGAAAGCGUGGGGAGCAAACAGGAUUAGAUACCCCAGUAGUC